CAGCCGUAAACUAUGCGCGUUAGGUGUAUCGGUGACCACGAGUUACCGAGGUGCCGAAGGGAAACCGUGAAACGUGCCGCCUGGGAAGUACGGUCGCAAGGCUGAAACUAAAAGGAAUUGGCGGGGGAGCACCACAACAGGUGGAGCCUGCGGUUUAAUUGGACUCAACGCCGGGAAGCUCACCGGAUAAGACAGCGGAAUGAUUGCCGGGCUGAAGACCCUGCAUGACCAGCUGAGAGGGAGGUGCAGUGGCGUAGUCGUGU
RNAcentral lists this ribosomal RNA (263 nucleotides) under uncultured archaeon. RNAcentral describes it as "partial 16S ribosomal RNA". It matches the Rfam family "Archaeal small subunit ribosomal RNA", at positions 748 to 1009 of the family's 1478-position model. The record is from RNAcentral.